Molecule: ribosomal RNA, 429 nt
Filed under: Actinomycetes bacterium
Lineage: Bacteria; Bacillati; Actinomycetota; Actinomycetes
Description: Actinobacteria bacterium partial 16S ribosomal RNA
Rfam family: Bacterial small subunit ribosomal RNA
Source: RNAcentral
UAGGGAAUCUUCCGCAAUGGGCGAAAGCUUGACGGAGCAACGCCGCGUGAGUGAUGAAGGUCUUCGGAUCGUAAAACUCUGUUAUUAGGGAAGAACAAAUGUGUAAGUAACUAUGCACGUCUUGACGGUACCUAAUCAGAAAGCCACGGCUAACUACGUGCCAGCAGCCGCGGUAAUACGUAGGUGGCAAGCGUUAUCCGGAAUUAUUGGGCGUAAAGCGCGCGUAGGCGGUUUUUUAAGUCUGAUGUGAAAGCCCACGGCUCAACCGUGGAGGGUCAUUGGAAACUGGAAAACUUGAGUGCAGAAGAGGAAAGUGGGAUUCCAUGUGUAGCGGUGAAAUGCGCAGAGAUAUGGAGGAACACCAGUGGCGAAGGCGACUUUCUGGUCUGUAACUGACGCUGAUGUGCGAAAGCGUGGGGAUCAAACAGG